RNAcentral lists this ribosomal RNA (379 nucleotides) under Bacillus sp. (in: firmicutes). RNAcentral's name for it is "bacterial SSU rRNA". It matches the Rfam family "Bacterial small subunit ribosomal RNA", at positions 99 to 470 of the family's 1533-position model. The record is from RNAcentral. Lineage: Bacteria; Bacillati; Bacillota; Bacilli; Caryophanales; Bacillaceae.
CGGACGGGUGAGUAACACGUGGGCAACCUGCCUGUAAGACUGGGAUAACUUCGGGAAACCGAAGCUAAUACCGGAUAGGAUCUUCUCCUUCAUGGGAGAUGAUUGAAAGAUGGUUUCGGCUAUCACUUACAGAUGGGCCCGCGGUGCAUUAGCUAGUUGGUGAGGUAACGGCUCACCAAGGCAACGAUGCAUAGCCGACCUGAGAGGGUGAUCGGCCACACUGGGACUGAGACACGGCCCAGACUCCUACGGGAGGCAGCAGUAGGGAAUCUUCCGCAAUGGACGAAAGUCUGACGGAGCAACGCCGCGUGAGUGAUGAAGGCUUUCGGGUCGUAAAACUCUGUUGUUAGGGAAGAACAAGUACAAGAGUAACUGCUUG